GUAAUUCCAGCUCCAAUAGCGUAUAUUAAAGUUGUUGCAGUUAAAAAGCUCGUAGUUGAACCUUGGGUCUGGCUGGCCGGUCCGCCUCACCGCGAGUACUGGUCCGGCUGGACCUUUCCUUCUGGGGAAUCUCAUGGCCUUCACUGGCUGUGGGGGGAACCAGGACUUUUACUGUGAAAAAAUUAGAGUGUUCAAAGCAGGCCUUUGCUCGAAUACAUUAGCAUGGAAUAAUAGAAUAGGACGUGCGGUUCUAUUUUGUUGGUUUCUAGGACCGCCGUAAUGAUUAAUAGGGAUAGUCGGGGGCGUCAGUAUUCAGCUGUCAGAGGUGAAAUUCUUGGAUUUGCUGAAGACUAACUACUGCGAAAGCAUUCGCCAAGGAUGUUUUCAUUAAUCAGGGAACGAAAGUUAGGGGAUCGAAGACGAUCAGAUAC
Molecule: ribosomal RNA, 431 nt
Filed under: Aspergillus niger
Lineage: Eukaryota; Fungi; Ascomycota; Eurotiomycetes; Eurotiales; Aspergillaceae
Description: SSU rRNA
Rfam family: Eukaryotic small subunit ribosomal RNA
Source: RNAcentral